GUGAAAUUGGAAGAUAAUUCUGAAGUGAUGGGAAAAAGAAAUGUGCGAAUGAUGGUGAAUGGUUUUUUACAGAUUGUUAAUGGUGUAUUUUAUGUUCCUGGAUUAAAAAAUAGCUUGCUAAGCAUUGGUCAACUAGUUGAGAAGGGACUCCAAAUCCUCAUACAACGAAGAGCAUGCAAAAUUUAUCAUCCUGAGAGAGGGCUAAUUAUGGAGAUUAUGAUGUCUUUGAAUCAAAUGUUUAAGCUGUUUGCUGUAACACAACUAGAGGAAGCUUGUUUCAACUCUUUCAUGGAAGAUCCAGCUCAACUUUGGCACUGCAGAUAUGGCCAUCUAAGCUUCAACAGUCUGAAGCCUCUUUAACAAAAGGGAAUGGUGAAAGGACUGCUAUUUCUCGAAAUUUCAUCGAAGAUAUGUGAAGACUGCUUGGUGGGAAAACAACAAAGAUAUCCACUUCCUCCAGAAAGCAAAUGGAGAGCUUCUCAAAUCCUUGAAUUGGUGCAUGUCGAUAUAUGUGGACCAAUCAGCCCUAUGUCCAACAGCCAAAAGGUACAUGAUUAGCUUUAUUGAUGACUAUAGUCGUAAAUUUUGGGUCUACUUCUUGGUUGUGAAAUUUGAAACGUUUAGUAUAUUCAAAAAAUAUAAGAAUCGAGUUGAAAAAGAGACUAGCUUGGCUAUAAAAGGUCUUCGUACUGAUUGUGGGUGGGGGUGAGUUCACAUCACUUGAAUUCACAAAUUUUUGUAGUGAGAAUGGUAUUCGAUGACAACUAGUGACCACAUACACUCCUCAACAAAACGAUGUUACGGAGCAGAAGAAUCGAACAAUCAUGAAUAUGGUUCAGAGCAUGCUUUUAAGAAAGAAGAUCCCCAAGACUUUCUGAUCUGAAGCUGUUAAUUGGAUAGUCCAUAUUCUCAAUAGGAGUCCAAGACUUGCAGUGAAGAAUAAAACUCCGCAAGAAGCUUGGAGUGGAUUCAAACCAUCAGUGGAAUACUUCAGAGUGUUUGGGUGUGUAUCUCAUGUUCAUGUUCCUGAUUGCAAAAGGGCAAAGCUCGAUGACAAGAGUGUAAGACGUGUUUUUCUUGGAGUUAGUGAGGAGUCAAAAGCAUAUCGGCAAUAUGAUCCUAUUUCUCAGAAGAUUAUAGUAAGAAGAGAUGUGGUGUUUGAAGAAGGCAACAACUGGGAUUGGGAUAAAAAUCAUAAGGAAGUUAUUUUGGCUGACUUGAAUUGGGACGACAAUUACAAAGAACCAAAUGCAGCUACUCGAAAUAGAGACGAAGCUGAGAGUGAUGAACAUAGAAAUACUGAGGAAAGAGAAACUAAUGGCUCAAAUGAAGAGAAUUCAUCUAGCUCAGGUGAAGAUUCCUCAUUUGAAUCUCUUGAACAAAGAUCAAGAAGACAACCAAUUUGGAUGAGGGAUUAUGAAAGUAGAGAAGGUUUAUAUCGAAGGAAGAAGACAUGGAAAAUUUAGUCAUGUUUGCAGCCAAUGAUCCGAUUUUAUUCAAAGAGGCACUAAAAGAUGCAAAGUGGAGAAUAGUAAUGGAUGCGGAGAUUGACGCUAUAGAGAAAAAUGAUACUUGGGAACUGACAAAUUUGCCUAUUGGAGUAAAGAAGGUUGGUGUGAAAUGGGUGUACAACACAAAACUCAUGAAAAUGGUGAGGUGGAGAAGUACAAAGUUCGUUUGGUUACAAAGGGUUACACACAACAACAUGGCGUGGACUACACUGAAGUUUUUGCACCUGUAGCAUGUUUGGAAACAAUUCAAUUAGUAAUUUCUCUUGCAGCUCAAAAAAGGUGGACAAUAUUUCAGCUAGAUGUAAAGUCAGCUUUCCUCGACAGAGAACUUAGUGAAGAGGUUUUCGUCGAACAACUUCCUGGCUAUGGAAAAAAGGUGCUGAAGGAAAAGUUUAGAGGUUAAAGAAGGUUUUAUACAGACUAAAACAAGCCCCACGAGCUUGGUAUAGUUGGAGAGAGUCAUAUUUUACUAAAGAAGAUUUCAAGCGGUGCCCUUAUGAGCAUACUCUAUUCAUCAAAGCGAGAGAAGGAGGUUAAAUUCUAUUAGUUUGUCUCUAUGUUGAUGACUUGAUUUUUACUAGCAAUAAUGAGCAUAUGUUUGUCAAAUUUAAAAAGUCGAUGAUGCAUGAGUUUGACAUGAAGACCUUGGAAAAAUGAGAAAUUUUCUCGGUAUAGAAGUAUUGCAAAGUUAAGAAGGUAUUUUUCUUUGUCAAAAAAGGUAUGCACAGGAGGUGUUAGAAAGGUUUGAUAUGGAUAAGUGCAAUUCAGUUCAUAAUCCAAUUGCUCUAGGUUACAAACUCAUGAGGGAUGAGAAUGGUAUAAGGGUGAAUAGUACUAGUUACAAGCAAGUAAUUGGCAGUCUAAUGUAUCUGACUGCUGCCCGACACGAUAUUAUGUUUGUGUUGAGUCUUUUGAGUAAGUAUAUGGAGCGACCCACAGAGCUUCAUCUCCAGGCUGCCAAGAGAGUGUUGAGAUAUUUGAAAGGGAUGAUGUUGAAAGUGCUAGCUGUUAGCGUUGAUCUAGUCUUUAGGUUUUUUGUUGAGUCUGUCACUUAGUUGUUUGAAUAAUCCCUAUUCUUUAGGAACAAGUUGUUUGUUUCCUAGUCAAUUACAACGUUACUAGGCAUGUAAAGCAUGGGCUGCUCUAUACUUCCUGUUAUUUCUGUAAGGUUAUAUAUAUAGCCAC
RNAcentral lists this long non-coding RNA (2696 nucleotides) under Olea europaea subsp. europaea. Lineage: Eukaryota; Viridiplantae; Streptophyta; Magnoliopsida; Lamiales; Oleaceae. The record is from RNAcentral.